RNAcentral lists this ribosomal RNA (457 nucleotides) under uncultured bacterium. RNAcentral's name for it is "SSU rRNA". It matches the Rfam family "Bacterial small subunit ribosomal RNA", at positions 26 to 518 of the family's 1533-position model. The record is from RNAcentral.
AGAAUCAACGCUGGCGGCGUGCCUAACACAUGCAAGUCGAACGAGAAAGGGACUUCGGUCCUGAGUAAAGUGGCGCACGGGUGAGUAACACGUGACUAACCUACCCUUGAGUGGGGAAUAACUUCGGGAAACCGAGGCUAAUACCGCAUAACACCUACGGGUCAAAGGAGCAAUUCGCUUAAGGAGGGGGUCGCGGCAGAUUAGCUAGUUGGCGGGGUAAUGGCCCACCAAGGCAGUGAUCUGUAUCCGGCCUGAGAGGGCGCACGGACACACUGGAACUGAAACACGGUCCAGACUCCUACGGGAGGCAGCAGUGGGGAAUUUUGCGCAAUGGGGAAACCCUGACGCAGCAACGCCGCGUGGAGGAUGAAGUCUCUUGGGACGUAAACUCCUUUCGAUCGGACGAUAAUGACGGUACCGAGAGAAGAAGCCCGGCUAACUUCGUGCCAGCAGCCGC